UACAGAGGGUGCGAGCGUUAAUCGGAAUCACUGGGCGUAAAGAGUGCGUAGGUGGGUAGUGACGUGUGAUGUGAAAUCCCUGGGCUUAACCUGGGAAUGGCAUCGCAAACUGACUGUCUAGAGGUCAAAAGAGGUGAGUGGAAUUUCCGGUGUAGCAGUGAAAUGCGUAGAGAUCGGAAGGAACACCCGAGGCGAAGGCGGCUCACUGGUUUGAACCUGACACUGAGGCACGAAAGCGUGGGGAGCAAACAGG
This 253-nucleotide ribosomal RNA is filed under the name uncultured bacterium. Its description in RNAcentral is "partial 16S ribosomal RNA". It matches the Rfam family "Bacterial small subunit ribosomal RNA", at positions 524 to 776 of the family's 1533-position model. The record is from RNAcentral.